AACGAACGCUGGCGGCAUGCCUAACACAUGCAAGUCGAACGAGACCUUCGGGUCUAGUGGCGCACGGGUGCGUAACGCGUGGGAACCUGCCCUUAGGUUCGGAAUAACUCCCCGAAAGGGGUGCUAAUACCGGAUAAUGUCUUCGGACCAAAGAUUUAUCGCCUUUGGAUGGGCCCGCGUUGGUUUGGCUAGUUGGUAGGGUAAAAGCCUACCAAGGCGACGAUCCAUAGCUGGUCUGAGAGGAUGAUCAGCCACACUGGGACUGAGACACGGCCCAGACUCCUACGGGAGGCAGCAGUGGGGAAUAUUGGACAAUGGGCGAAAGCCUGAUCCAGCAAUGCCGCGUGAGUGAUGAAGGCCUUAGGGUUGUAAAGCUCUUUUACCCGGGAUGAUAAUGACAGUACCGGGAGAAUAAGCUCCGGCUAACUCCGUG
Molecule: ribosomal RNA, 433 nt
Filed under: uncultured bacterium
Lineage: Bacteria
Description: partial 16S ribosomal RNA
Rfam family: Bacterial small subunit ribosomal RNA
Source: RNAcentral